Molecule: microRNA precursor, 60 nt
Filed under: Limulus polyphemus (Atlantic horseshoe crab)
Lineage: Eukaryota; Metazoa; Arthropoda; Merostomata; Xiphosura; Limulidae
Description: Lpo-Mir-1175-P7_pre stem-loop
Rfam family: mir-1175 microRNA precursor family
Source: RNAcentral
AAGUGGAGGGGUAGUCUCUUCACUUGGUUUAAAGAGUGAGAUUCAACUCCUCCAACUUGU